UGGGUUGCACCGCACGUCGACGUGGGCGGGCGCUCGCGGCGGGGCUGGGCUCAUCUCCGCCACACCCUCCCAUCCGGGUCUCCUCCUGCGGUGCCCCAAAAAAUGGCGCCAAUCCCUCCCCAAUCUCCCCCCCCCCCCCCCCCCCCCCCUUUCCCCCCCCCCCCCCCCCCCCCCCCCCCGGCGGGGCAAACCCUAACCCCAUGUCCUCCUCCUCCUCGCUGCCCGCCAAGCCGCCCCCGCCGCCGCGCCCCAAGACGCGGGGCAGCUACAACUGCGGCCGAUGCGGCCAGCCCAAGAAGGGCCACGUCUGCAACCUCCCCUCCCCGGCCGCCGCCGACGGCGCCGCGCCCCCCUCCCCGUCGCCCUCCUCCUCCGCCGGGGACACCCGCCUCCGCCGCGCCCUCUCCUUCGACGACGCCCCCGCGCCCUCCUCCCCCGAGAAGAAGCCCAGGCCCGACCAUGACUUUGCCGGCCGCACCAUGGAGCUGGGCGGCCGGGCCGUGCCGGUCGACCUCGUCGUCGAGGUCCUGCGCCGGCUCGGCCCCAGGGGGGUACUGGACGCCGCCGCCGUCAGCCGCGCCUGGCGCGACUGCGCCGACCGGGUCUGGCGCGUCGCCGAGGAGCUCCGCCUCCGCCCGGCCGCCGCCGGCCUCCUCGGCGCGCUGCUCCCCCGGUGCGCCGCGCUCUCGCGCCUAGUCCUCCACAUGGAAAGUGCUGUUGAUGCCACCAUGCUGUCAUGUCUUGCAUUUUCCUGUUCAAGUUUGGAAACUCUGGAGAUCACCAUGGCCGACAAGGCAAUCAACAAUAUGACUGGAGAGGAGCUAAGUCGACUUGUUUCAGAGAAGCGUUCUCUCUCAGUUCUCAAAAUCGGUGGUUGCUCUAAUCUUGGUUUUCUUAAUCUAAGCUCGUCAAGUCUUAGUGUCCUUUGGCUAUCAGAUCUUUGCUCCCUUUCAGAAUCGGUCAUAAGCUGCCCUAAUAUGAGCGAGCUCUCCCUGUGUUUCACACAACAAAGUACUGAAUGUACUGACCUGGUUAGUUUGAUGGAUGGCCUGGGCCGAUCGUGCCCUAACUUAAGAAAUUUGCACAUAUCAUCAAUUCAACUAUCUAAUGAAGCCGUGUCCGCUCUAGAGGGUGCCAACCUCAGGGGCUUGUGCAUGCUAUCCUUGAUUCUCGGUUCAAAAAUGACAGAUGCAGCUGUUGCAUCUAUCGUCAGAUCUUGUGCAAGCUUGGAAUUGCUUGAUUUAAGUGGAUCUAGCAUCAGUGAUAGUGGUGUUGGUAUGAUCUGCAAGGCGUUCCCUCAUACUUUAUCGAGGCUGCUCCUUGCUCUCUGCCCAAAUAUUACUACAUGUGGGAUCCAGGCCGCAACAGCACAAUUGCCACUACUUCAGCUCAUGGACUGUGGAAUGAGCUUACGUUCUAACUUGCAGAAUGAAAAACAGGGGGCUUAUUUUGGUGAGAUCAAUGGAAGGAUUAGAUUGUGCCCAAAAUUACCCACCUUAAAAAAGCAACCUAUGCGCCAAAAGCUAAUCAUAAAGCAUGAUAAUUUGAAGAAGCUCAGUCUAUGGGGCUGUUCAGCAAUAGAUGCUUUGUAUGUGAAAUGCCCAGAGUUGAUUGAUCUGAACCUCAACACUUGUACAAAUCUACACCCAGAGCGGCUGCUACUUCAGUGCCCAAAUCUGAAGAAUGUACAUGCAUUUGGAUGCCAAGAUAUGUUGAUUGGUGCAAUAAAAAACCAGGUCUACAGGCCCAAACAGCACACAUGAAGGAUACUACUAAAGCCCACCUGUAUACGAAAACCUAGGUACUCCCGUCAAUCUCCUGAUGGUUUUGAUUUCUUGCUCCUAUCAGGUUCUGAAUGAGUUCGCUGCAGCUGAACCACAUCUUCCAUGCAAGCGGCUAGCAGACGGUUCAAAACGGGUUCAGCUGUCACAGUUCCCACAAGAGCAGCUACCGGAGGACAAAAUAUGGAUUGGAUUCAAGCGGUCGGAGUGCAUUGUUCAUCUUGAUUCUUGAUUAAUAAUAACAAUCACAUAACCAUAGCUAGAGAACCGCUCAUUGUGCGCACUCUGAUUUGUGAAAUUAGACAAUUGGCGAGUAUUUAUUUAUUUGUUUUGUGCAUCUCCAAACCCAUAAUAUAUGUAAUGUGCCUGUUGUAUAAGCUGCUACAUGGAAGUGAAACUUGCAUCAACUGGUUUUUGGGUUCCCACUGGUGUGCUCCGCUUGGCCAAAUUAAUAUGUAACCAUAUUAUUUUUUGGUGCAAUAAAGUUGUGAAUCAUUUAAACUA
Triticum urartu is the source of this 2285-nucleotide RNA transcript. It is a transcript of the gene named F-box/LRR-repeat protein 17, with no coding region annotated. Lineage: Eukaryota; Viridiplantae; Streptophyta; Magnoliopsida; Poales; Poaceae. The record is from RefSeq and is a predicted model, not a curated record.